AGACCUGGUUCUGAAGAGGGUCGGGAAACCUGCAGGCGGGCGGCUCACCGUCCCCCAACUCAGGCUCAGGCUGGGAGAGCAUCGAACCCUUUGAGGAAUCCAGAUUCUGAAAGGGCUUGAGGCUAAGACGAGGCGGAGAAGAGGCGGCCUGACGGGAGCAGAACAACUUUUGAUUUUUAGUACUACUUAAUACGCUCUCCUCUCUCCCCUUCCCCAAAACAACUUUCUCUUCCGGGGUCAUGCAGGACCGCCCCGAAGCGUACCUUGCGCGCUGUGGGCGCCAGGAGCUACGCGAUUUGAUGUUUUGAGGUAUCUGCACCGCCCUCGCUACUUCUUUCUUGGCCACUUGUGUGCUAGCUGAUCGCGGUAGCCCCAGAAGUGUGAGCGGACGCUCCAAGCCAAGCCUUGCGCCCCCGGCCCCUGCUGUGCCCUCUGCCCCGCAGGCACCGCCUGUAGGCUUUGUAACCUUGGAGCGUAUCUUCAGUAAUCAUUGUUCUUCUACAGUCAUAGAAAACUGUCCUCUUCAUACCAACAAAAACAUAGGAAUCUAAGAGUCUGCAAGAUUCUCCUGGACGCGGCUGCACCCGGCCAGGAACCCAAGUAGAGAGCGAGCUGGCAAAGGAACCACAUGGAGCAGCCCAACAAAGAGUUCCACCUGGAAAAGAAUUGAAAACUACUGACAACAACUACCAAGGAACCAAGGCUUCUUGCAAGUAGCCCUGGCUGUAGGACUUGGAAACCAAUCCUUCUGCCCCAAGCAAGCUUUCAAGUGACUACAGCACCAGCUGAUAGCUUGACGGAAGAACCUUGACCCAGGACCACUCAGCUAAGCUGCUCCCCAAUCUUAAUGCUCAGAAACAGUGUAAGACAAUAAAUGUUUGUUGCUUUAA
Molecule: non-coding RNA, 890 nt
Organism: Marmota flaviventris (yellow-bellied marmot)
Lineage: Eukaryota; Metazoa; Chordata; Mammalia; Rodentia; Sciuridae
Source: RefSeq, a predicted model, not a curated record